UCUUUAUUUACUUUUCUAAAGAUUACUUGUGUAUUUGAGCCAAUGUAAUCUAACAACGGCAAAUCAUAAUCCUU
This 74-nucleotide transfer RNA is filed under the name Lactobacillus acidophilus La-14. RNAcentral describes it as "tRNA-Arg". The record is from RNAcentral. Lineage: Bacteria; Bacillati; Bacillota; Bacilli; Lactobacillales; Lactobacillaceae.